AGUGAACGCUGGCGGUAGGCCUAACACAUGCAAGUCGAACGGCAGCACAGUAAGAGCUUGCUCUUACGGGUGGCGAGUGGCGGACGGGUGAGGAAUACAUCGGAAUCUACUUUUUCGUGGGGGAUAACGUAGGGAAACUUACGCUAAUACCGCAUACGACCUACGGGUGAAAGCAGUGGAUCUUCUGACCUUGUGCGAUUGAAUGAGCCGAUGUCGGAUUAGCUAGUUGGCGGGGUAAAGGCCCACCAAGGCGACGAUCCGUAGCUGGUCUGAGAGGAUGAUCGGCCACACUGGAACUGAAACACUGUCCAGGCUCCUACGAGAGGCAGCAGUGGGGAAUAUUGGACAGUGGGCGCGAGCCUGAUCCAGCCGUACCGCGUGGGUGAAGAAGGCCUUCGGGUUGUAAAGCCCUUUUGUUGGGAAAGAAAAGCAGCAGGUUAAUACCCCGCGGUUCUGACGGUACCCAAAGAAUAAGCACCGGCUAACUUCGUG
This 492-nucleotide ribosomal RNA is filed under the name uncultured bacterium. RNAcentral's name for it is "partial 16S ribosomal RNA". It matches the Rfam family "Bacterial small subunit ribosomal RNA", at positions 29 to 507 of the family's 1533-position model. The record is from RNAcentral.